AGACGCUCCUCACUUCCUAGAUGGGAUGGCGGCCAGGCAGAGGCUGCAAUCUCGGCACUUUGGGAGGCCAAGGCAGGCGGCUGGGAGGUGGAGGUUGUAGCGAGCCGAGAUCACGCCACUGCACUCCAGCCUGGGCACCAUUGAGCACUGAGUGAACCAGACUCCGUCUGCAAUCCCGGCACCUCGGGAGGCCGGAGGCCGAGGCUGGCGGAUCACUCGCAGUUAGGAGCUGGAGACCAGCCCGGCCAACACAGCGAAACCCCGUCUCCACCAAAAAAAUACGAAAACCAGUCAGGCGUGGUGGCGCGCCUGCAAUCGCAGGCACUCGGCAGGCUGAGGCAGGAGAAUCAGGCAGGGAGGCUGCAGUGAGCCGAGAUGGCAGCAGUACAGUCCAGCUUCGGCUCGGCAUCAGUGGGAGACGGUGGAAAGAGAGGGAGAGGGAGACUGUGGGGAGAGGGAGAGGGAGAGGGGGGAGAGGGAGAGGGAGAGGGAGGAGCCAUAAUUCUUGUAUUUGGAAUCAGUCUAGUUCCCAAGAACUUCAGUUUGAUGCUCUUCAAGUUCUACCUUCACUAUAGGAUGUGGUUUUCAAGAUGAAAGUUACGACCCACCAAUGGGUUUUGAAAUAAAUUUAGUAGGCCACAACCAGUAUUUUUUUUAACAAAGGAAUCGAAUAGAAAAGAAAGUAUCAGGAUAUAUAACACAUGGCAAGGAUGAUAAUAUGUAAAACUUUGGUUUCAAAGACAAUAUGUGUGUCUAUUUAUAUAUCUAUUUCACACCAUAUAUGCUGACCUACACACCUACAUGUUUGUGUGUACUUGGUUAUGAUAAAAAUUCAUUAAAUGAUGGUAAAAAAAAGUUUGAAAAAACAAAUAAUUCAAUCUAAAAAUGAGAAAAGAAUCUCAAUAGACAUCUCUCAAAAGAAGGCCUACAAAUGGUCAACAAGAAUAUGAAAACAUGUUCAACAUCUCUAUUAGGGAAAUGUAAAUUAAAAUCACAUGAAAUAUCAUCCAACUCCCAUUAGAAUGGCUGCCAUCAGAAAAACAAAAUAACAACAGCAACAACAACAAAAAUCGAAUGUUGGUGAGGAUGUGGAGAAAAGGAAAUUCUUAUAUUACAUUCUUGGUAAGAAUGUAAAUUAGUACAGCCAUUAUAGAAAACAAUAUGGAGGUUUCUCAAAAACCUAAAAAUAUAACUACCAUAUGAUUCAGCAAUCCCACUACUUCCCCAAAGGGAAGGAAAUCAAUAUAUGGAAAAGACAUCUGCACUCCCAUGUUUAUUCCAGCACUAUUCACAAUAGCCAAGGUAUGGAGUCAACCUAAAUGUCCAUCAACAGAAGAAUGAAUAAAGAAAAUGUGGCAUGUAUACACAAUGGAGUACUAUUCAGCCAUAUAAAAGGAAUGAAAUUGGUUGGGGGGGCAUGGUGGCUUACGCCUGUAAUAGCAGCACUUUGGGAGGCCGAGGUGGGAGGAUCACCUGAGGUCAGGAGUUCAAGACCAACCUGACCAACGUGGAGAAACCCCAUCUCUACUAAAAAUACACAAUUAGCCAGGCGUGGUGGCACAUGCCUGUAAUCCCAGCUACUCGGGAGGCUGAGGCAGGAGAAUCACUUGAACCUGGGAGGCAGAGGUUGCGGUGAGCCGAGAUCACACCAUUGCACUCCAGCCUGGGCGACAAGAGCGAAACUCCGUCUCAGAAAAAAAAAAAGGAAUGAAAUCCUGAAUCCCGUCAUUUGUGACAACAUGGAUGAGCUUGGAGGACAUUAUGGUAAGUGAAAUAAACCAGGAACAGAAAAUAAAUACUGCAUGUUCUCUCUCAUACAUGAGAGCUAAAAAAAAGUUGGUGUCUAAGAAGCAGAGAGUAGACUAGUGGUUAUUAGAGGCUGGGAAGCAUAGUGGAGAGGUUGGUUAACAGACUUAACAGACACAAAAUUACAGAUAGAUAGGGGAAUAAGUUCUAAGUGUUCUAUAGAACUGUAGAGUGAAUAUAGUUAACAAUAUUUUAUUGUAUAUUUUUAAAAAUCUAGAAGAGAGGAUUUUGAACGUUCCCAACACAAAGAAAAGAUGAAUGUUUGCGGUAAUAGAUACGUCAAUUACCCUGAUUUGGUUAUUACGCAUUAUAUACAUGUAUUCAAAUAGUGCUCUGUAUCCCAUAACAUGUACAAUUAUUAUAUGUCAACUAAAAAUAAAAGAAAAAACAUUUGAAGGCUUGUGCUGUAUGUUUUGAGCCAUUCUAAUGCCUGAAUCACUUACAAAGAGAUGCAGAGCGUGAUGAAGCUAGUCUGUACUGGGAAAAGAAAUGGCUAGAGCCAAAAAAAGAAAGGGACUUAUGGAAGCAAACUCACAGUGGCUACUCUGCUCCCUACCAUUGCCUCUGACGAGUUGAGGUCCCCAGGAGGUCUCCUCAUACACAUCGUUCUUCCCUGAUUGCCUGUGAGAUAACUCUUUCCUUUCUUUCCUAUCUGUAUACACAGCAUGAGUUUCCAUAAGCUAAAUGGGACAUAACAUGAUUGAUUAACUAGGGGACAUGUGUAGACCCUCUUCUGACCCAUACAGAAGUAGAGUGUGUGGGCAGAGAGAAAGGCCUGUUGUGUAAGUGCCACAGCCUCUUUGUUGUGCUAAAAGCAAUGGAAAUGUCUAAGAAGUAUUGUGAUGGCCUAAGACGUCAUUCUUGAGCAAGAGCUAGAUGGAAUCACAUGCCAUAUUUUUACGUUUACAAUUUCAGUGUUCUAGCUAUAUACUUAAAACUAUAAACAAUGCUUUUGUUACAGAGAUUCCUGCAGUCCCCAUGCCCCUCUUUUUUUUGUUAACUGAAACAAAAGUAUGUAUAAUGCUGUUUUUGUUAAAGUAAGGUUGCCUGGGCACACCACCCUCACAUCAUUGCAGAACGCACUAAACUAGAGCCUGCCGUCGUUUGGGCCAACCCAACGGAAUUGCUCUCCCUUGUAAUCAUAAGGACCUAAAACUGAACAGGUAACAUACCCAACAUCUCAGAUUCAUUAUUUUUAAUGUAUUUUUUUUUGGUAGCUUUGGCAUGGGACAGUCACAUCAAAGGUGCUUGUUAUGACCUAAGCAAUCAUCAUCAAUAGCUGAUAACAUCCAAAGAGAGACACAACCAGACAUUAUGCACCUCCUGAUUAUAGUACAAAAGAAUGCAAACUAAGUCUGCACAACCUCCAGCUCUAAGUACCAAUGCCAAGGAAACACAGGAGAAAAGGAAACGUACUAAACCAUGUUAUUAUUGGAAUGCCAUUAACCAAAGCCAACAUGUGGGAGACUACCAGACAAGAAGAUUUAGUUCCUUUAACAGCAUCAACAACACAGCAAACAGGGAAAAAGAGGAUGGAGUUUUCAUGCCUCAGGGAUACUGAGGCAAAUAAACUGUCAGUAAAGAAAAGAGAGCAAGGUAGAAAGAGGCUAUUUAUAGGAGAAUCAGGAAAAUGUAAAUACUAAAUGAAUAUCUGAUACUAUUACAGAAUUAUUAAUAUUGGUUUUUAGGGAGCUGUGAUGAUUCUUAGGGAGGUGUCCUGAUGCUGCAUAGUUGCUUUUAAAAAGGGCACUCUUUGUCUUUUACAGAUCCACACUGAAACGUUUACUGAUGAAAUGCUCUCUAACAUCUGGGAUUUCCUUCAAAAUUAUCCGGGGCAGAGAGGGAGUGGGUACGGGCAGAGGAAAUAACAUAGGACAUAAGUUGAAAAUACUGAAGCUGAGUGAAGGGAGUUCAUUGUAAUACACUCCACACUUUGGUAUAUGUUUGAAAUUUUGCCUAAUAAAAAAAAUUCAGUGUCUAUUUUACAGAUGUAUUUGUCAUUUCAACAAACAUAUGUUGAAAUCAUGUUGCACAUUAGGGAUUGGAGACAUAUACACAAAUUAGCAUUCCGGCCAGACUGCUUAUCAUUACUUCUUAUUUCCUGUUUGUAAGAUGCCAUUCGUCUGGGCAAGGUAGCACAUGCUUGUAAUCCCAGAUUUUUGGGAGGCUGCAGUGGGACCAUCACUAGAGGUUAGCACUUGGAGACCAGCCUGGGCAACAUAGGGAGACAUCAUCUCUACAAAAAUAAAAGUAAAAAAAAUUAGCCAGGUGUGGUAUCAUGUGCCUAUAGACCCAGCUACUCAGGAGGAUGAGGUGGGAGGGUCCCUUGAGCCCAGGAGUUCAAGGCUGCAGUGAGCUAAGAAGAUGCCAGUGCGCUCCUCCCUGGGUGGCAGAGCGAGAACCUGUCUCUACAAAAUAAAAUAAAAUAAAAUGUCAUUUAUUUUAAGACACACAAUUAUAUUAAUUGCAGCUUUUGAAGUAUCCCGAAGGUCAAUGCUCACUUGGAGUGGGAGAGGGGAAAAAAAGCCCACCAUAUUAAAAUUAAACAUUGAUUUUGAGACACAUUCUAAUUUCAGACUAUCCAAACUAUAUAUCUUUAGAUCAAGGAAGAAUGGUGAUUCUUACUUUCUUUUGGCUCUAUGGUAAGUAUCUGGUUGUAAAGUCUGAGGGCAUCCUAAGGGAAAAUAUUGUGUCCAGUGUAACUGUGGUUUUGAUCCUAUAGUUUUUUCUUUCUUUUUUUUUUCUUCAGUGUGUCAGAAUCUAGCUAUCAAGUUGAAAUAGGUUAAUCUGAUCUUAUCACCAGCAGACGCAUCUCAGUCAUCUGGAAGAAAGUGCUGUUACAAGAAGUAACUCUGGGUAUGCGCUUCAGGAAUGCAGUUGUGGAAACCAUGUUUGCGGCUGCUUUAAACUGUUUCCCAGGAGUCAAGGAAAAUUCAACAAUCUGAGACCAAAAAGGUAUCUUCGGCACAGUCUUCCUUGGCACAGCCGUGGAGAACAGAGCCAGGGCUUUGAGUCAGAGGAAUUGGGUUGAAACCUGCCUGUAUUGGUUGCAACCUGGUGACCUUGGAUAUCCUUUUUAUUCUCUGAGCCUUAUAUACCCCCUGGAUAAAAUAUAUCUGAUGAAACCUGCUGUUGCAUGUUCUGGGAUUUAAAUGAAUAACACCGUACCUAAAGCAUUUGGUGCAGGGUUAGGACGUGUAGAAGCUUAAGUUGUUAUUCUUCUUCUUAACAUUUUCCUGGAACUCCGGUGAGGCUCCCCGAGCAUGGGACUUUUUAGCUCCGUCUGACGACUGAUCCCUGCAGUUAACUGAUCAUUCUACAAAGCCACCAUUUGCUGAAUCCAUUGCCAAAGAAUCGAUACAGGUGAUAUCUCAGCCCAAGCUGCUAUAUCAAAAUACUAUUGACUGAGUGGCUUAAGCCACAGACAUUUAUUUCUUACAGUUGUGGAGGCUGGGAAGCCCAAGAUGAAAGUGCUGGCAGAUCCUGUGUCUAGUGAGGGCUGUCUUCCUGGUUGGCAGAUAGCCGUCUUCUUGCUGUAUCCUCGCAUGGUGGAGAGAGAGAUCUCAUGUUUCUCCAUUUCUUUAAUGAGGGCAUUCAGCCCAUCAUGAGGGCCCCACCCUCACCCUCAUGACUUAAUCUAACCCAGCCCCUACCUCCAAGUACCAUGAGGGUUAGGGUUUCAGCAUAUAAAUUGAGGGGAGGAAGACACAAACACUUAGUCUAUAGCAGGUGAAUUGGCUGCUUCCAUCCUGGCUUGGAACUUCAGACAUAGAAGCCUUGGGACUUUCUCAGGACUUUCUCCAGAUCUGACUCAUGCUCAGCAAACAAGCAUCUCUGUGGAUCACGUGACCUUAGCCAGGGAUGUUGGUGAAACUGUGUGUUGGUCUAGGUACCUAGCCCAUGCUAGGUGCUCAUCGAAUAGCUUUAGUGGGUGACUGUGACUGAAGAGGCAUGAGCCACCGUGCCUGGCCUUUAGGAUGUUUAUAUGCUCUCUAUGCACCAUGAUAUUUGCGCCCUGGCGGAGCAGUCUCAGUUCCACUUCUGAGCUGGGAUGAGUAUUUAGCUCCUUCCCCAUCUGAUGCGAACUAGGCAACACUACAGAGCCAGAGGCAGAAAACAGGAGGGCUUCUCACCUGUCCUUGUCCAUGAAUAGCCAGUGCUCUGCUGAGGACUCCAGGAACCCACUCUUCAUGAUCAGCCUCAAUUGGCAGUGGCCAUCUCCUCUGGCAGCAAGCACAAGUGGACUUCUCUUCCUGCCCACAUCUGCUAGAUGAGGGUGACCCUCUGGAGAGAGGCUGGGAGAAGCUAGCCAGCCUGUAACCAGUGGGCUAGUGUGUGUACAUAUUGUAUGCAUGCUGGGGGACAGAAGAGGGUGUGGGGAAGGGCAACUUGCUUUCCCCAGGUGAAGGAGUAAGGAAAUGUUUCCUUCCCAACCUUCUUUCUAGACCAGCUAAUACUCCAGUUUCACCCUUUGGGCAAGUCAUUUAUCUGUCUGAGCCUGAACUUCCUCAUGUAUAUGAAAGAUGGAGAAGACCAUUGUAGAAAUUCAUGUUAUUAGUAUUCCAAGCAAAAGAGCUAAAGGUUGGUCUCUCAAAUUCCUACCCCUUUGAAGACCGAUGGAUAAGAUUCUUUAAGUUUGCUGCAGGUGAUUAACUAUGCAAGGGCUAAAGACAGCAGAACUCUUGCCAAAGUAGCGUGCCACGGUAAUUCUGCCAUGACCUAUGUAAGCAGAAAUGGGUGGAUAAAUAGUUGCAGACUAUCUACAGAUUUCCGUCUUCCAAGUCUUCCAGGCAGAGGCUACAAAAUAAAAUACCCUUAAGAGCCAGGCAGGUAAUGAGAAUGAGUGGUGCAUGCCGGGGGUUUGCAUAGUAAAUAUUAGCACUAUUCCUUGCUUCCACAAAGGCGCUUUCUGCACUUGCUGGUAAAACACACAGUCCUCUGGGUAUAUGUUUUGUUUUCUCACAUUUUGUAGAUUCAUGAGCACAGAGAAAUAUUUCUGCACUACAAGCAAAACACUAAAAUAUAGGCUGAAGUAGCAACAGUGGAAGGAGCCCUGGAGAAUUGGGAAGCAUGUACUCUACCCAAAGAGGACCUAAGCUGUGCAACUCCAGCUCACCGUUCAGGGAGGGGAGUAAUGUGGGCCCAGUGUAGCCAGAACCUCUACUUCUUUAUUUAAAAGAAGCUGGAAAUCCAGAUUUUUAAAAACGUAGAGUCUCCUGCUUUUGCUGUUUUUCUUUUUCUUCUUUUUCCCUUUUAAUGGUGCACAUGUAUUUUUUAAAACUUUGUGCACACGAAAUAAAACCCACCUCCUGGUGGCCUGUCUGCCUCUUACCUUCCACAUACCACACUGAAUUUUGAAGGGUUCUCGCUGAAUUGCUCCAAAUCUGACAUUCUGGGUAACCCUCCUCAUGCAGCUGGGAGCCUUUGGAAUCUUCACAACCAGGAGGGCUGUGUCUUUGACCUUGAUUUAGGCCUUGUGUCUUCAGGGCAUGCCAAGGGGCCGGUGCAGGCUGGACAGAGGUGUGAUCUCCUUUUCUCAGCAUAAUUUCCUUCCUGGGGUCUUCAUAUCGCCCUGAGGCAGGAGCUGGGGUGCUGGCUCCUUCUGAAGGUCGCUUUUCUGGCCUUUGCCUGGG
Molecule: long non-coding RNA, 7439 nt
Filed under: Homo sapiens (human)
Lineage: Eukaryota; Metazoa; Chordata; Mammalia; Primates; Hominidae
Description: HSALNT0058408
Source: RNAcentral